Molecule: ribosomal RNA, 423 nt
Filed under: uncultured bacterium
Lineage: Bacteria
Description: bacterial SSU rRNA
Rfam family: Bacterial small subunit ribosomal RNA
Source: RNAcentral
UCUUCCGCAAUGGACGAAAGUCUGACGGAGCAACGCCGCGUGAGUGAUGAAGGCUUUCGGGUCGUAAAACUCUGUUGUUAGGGAAGAACAAGUGCUAGUUGAAUAAGCUGGCACCUUGACGGUAACUAACCAGAAAGCCACGGCUAACUACGUGCCAGCAGAGCAGGGAAUACGUAGGUGGCAAGCGUUAUCCGGAAGUAUUGGGCGUAAAGAGCGAGCAGGUGGUUUCUUAAGUCUGAUGUGAAAGCCCACGGCUCAACCGUGGAGGGUCAUUGGAAACUGGGAGACUUGAGUGCAGAAGAGGAAAGUGGAAUUCCAUGUGUAGCGGUGAAAUGCGUAGAGAUAUGGAGGAACACCAGUGGCGAAGGCGACUUUCUGGUCUGUAACUGACACUGAGGCGCGAAAGCGUGGGGAGCAAACAGG